CGCCGCGGUUAUACGAGAGGCCCAAGUUGUUAGACGCCGGCGUAAAGCGUGGUUAAGAUAACUUUUAUACUAAAGCCGAACGCCUUCCCUACUGUUAUACGUUCAUGAAGAUAGGAAGUCCAAUCACGAAAGUAGCUUUAUAACAUCUGAACCCACGAAAGCUAGAACA
This 169-nucleotide ribosomal RNA is filed under the name Genicanthus watanabei (blackedged angelfish). Its description in RNAcentral is "partial small subunit ribosomal RNA". Lineage: Eukaryota; Metazoa; Chordata; Actinopteri; Pomacanthidae. The record is from RNAcentral.